Molecule: ribosomal RNA, 478 nt
Filed under: uncultured bacterium
Lineage: Bacteria
Description: partial 16S ribosomal RNA
Rfam family: Bacterial small subunit ribosomal RNA
Source: RNAcentral
GACGAACGCUGGCGGCGUGCUUAACACAUGCAAGUCGAACGGUAAGGCCCUUCGGGGUACACGAGUGGCGAACGGGUGAGUAACACGUGGGUGAUCUGCCCUGCACUUCGGGAUAAGCAUGGGAAACUGGGUCUAAUACCGGAUAGGACCCUGGGAUGCAUGUCCUGGGGUGGAAAGCUUUUGCGGUGUGGGAUGGACCCGCGGCCUAUCAGCUUGUUGGUGGGGUGAUGGCCUACCAAGGCGACGACGGGUAGCCGGCCUGAGAGGGUGACCGGCCACACUGGGACUGAGAUACGGCCCAGACUCCUACGGGAGGCAGCAGUGGGGAAUAUUGCACAAUGGGCGCAAGCCUGAUGCAGCGACGCCGCGUGAGGGAUGACGGCCUUCGGGUUGUAAACCUCUUUCAGCACCGACGAAGCGCAAGUGACGGUAGGUGCAGAAGAAGGACCGGCCAACUACGUGCCAGCCGCCGCGGUAA